AUGUUGACACCCGGUCUUCAAAUGUACGAGCAUAAGAACAAAUGCACUUUACUGGAACAUGAUAUACCAGUGGUGUGUUUGGAUAUAUAUAAAAGGUCCCAUGGCAUGUAUUGUUCUAUUGCACGACAUGACAUCACCACUUCCAACAGUGCAUCAUUCUUCUUAAGGGGGUCUCCUUAUUGUUUAUGUCUCGGAGGAGAUAUGCUAUAUAGUAGCAUUAACAUUGCUUAUAUUGCAUCUGCUUUGCUUGCCAGAAAAAGGUUAGACAGAGAUGCUCAUUUCUUCUUCCUUGGGUCCUCUUGCUCUGAUUCGGUCUUGUUGAUCUUAGAAAUAUUUGACUGGCGAAUUGCCUGGCCGCCCCCCUCUAGAGGUCAUGUUCUUGUCUCCAGCUAUAUCAACUGCUUCAGUUCCCUCCAAGUUUACUUGGUUGUGGAUCGUUUCUCCUUGGACAUGUUGCUUUUGUGUGUGGCUGAGCUCUUCAUCUAUAAUUCUGAAAUUUCCCAAUGGAUAAUAGCUUGGCUUCUCAAGUUGAGGCAUUCUGGCAGUGUUAUCAUGUUGAAGCAAGCAUUCUCGCGGUCACUGAUGCAAUGGAAGAUUCCAUGGCUAUAUCCACCGCUGGAGUUUAGGUUUCAGUCUUGCCCCACUAGAAAAUCGUUCUUAUGUGGUUCUGGCUCCGCAAAAUUUCAGUGGGCAAUUGCAUGGCCAAGUGCAACAACUGGUGAGGCAUUCUCUGUUGGCUCUGAAAAAUUCCAAUGGGGAAUUGUUCGUAUGAUUUCCAAUGAAUUACUGCUCCCCAACAUGGGUGAGGAAAUCCUUCCAGCCAACUUAAUUGUCAUCUGCUAUUGCCUUGUUUGUGUUCCCGUUGGGUCCAAGUUUGGUACAUGA
This 885-nucleotide ribosomal RNA is filed under the name Triticum aestivum (bread wheat). RNAcentral describes it as "partial small subunit ribosomal RNA". Lineage: Eukaryota; Viridiplantae; Streptophyta; Magnoliopsida; Poales; Poaceae. The record is from RNAcentral.